Small nuclear RNA from Camellia sinensis, 115 nucleotides. RefSeq annotates it as U5 spliceosomal RNA. NCBI's taxonomy places the organism in Eukaryota, Viridiplantae, Streptophyta, Magnoliopsida, Ericales, Theaceae. The record is from RefSeq and is a predicted model, not a curated record.
AACCACACGGUGAGCACAAAGUGAACUAUUCUUUUGCCUUUUACUAGAGAAUAUUAUGUGCUCGUCGCAAGUAGUGGCAUAUGCAUAUUUUUGGAGGUCUUCUUUCCAAAUGGGU